GAUGAACGCUGGCGGCGUGCCUAAUACAUGCAAGUCGAGCGAACAGAUGAGAAGCUUGCUUCUCUGAUGUUAGCGGCGGACGGGUGAGUAACACGUGGGUAACCUACCUAUAAGACUGGGAUAACUCCGGGAAACCGGGGCUAAUACCGGAUAAUAUUUUGAACCGCAUGGUUCAAUAGUGAAAGACGGUUUCGGCUGUCACUUAUGGAUGGACCCGCGCCGUAUUAGCUAGUUGGUAAGGUAACGGCUUACCAAGGCGACGAUACGUAGCCGACCUGAGAGGGUGAUCGGCCACACUGGAACUGAGACACGGUCCAGACUCCUACGGGAGGCAGCAGUAGGGAAUCUUCCGCAGUGGGCGAAAGCCUGACGGAGCAACGCCGCGUGAGUGAUGAAGGUCUUCGGAUCGUAAAACUCUGUUGUAAGGGAAGAACAAAUUUGUUAGUAACUGAACAAGUCUUGACGGUACCUAACCAGAAAACCACGGCUAACUACGUGCCAGCCGCCGCAGUAA
Molecule: ribosomal RNA, 514 nt
Filed under: uncultured bacterium
Lineage: Bacteria
Description: partial 16S ribosomal RNA
Rfam family: Bacterial small subunit ribosomal RNA
Source: RNAcentral